GUGUCAGGUGACACUGUCUCUACUCUC
RNAcentral lists this non-coding RNA (27 nucleotides) under Mus musculus (house mouse). The record is from RNAcentral. Lineage: Eukaryota; Metazoa; Chordata; Mammalia; Rodentia; Muridae.